This is a long non-coding RNA of Coregonus clupeaformis (lake whitefish), 103 nucleotides long. RefSeq lists it as uncharacterized. The transcript is spliced from 3 exons. Lineage: Eukaryota; Metazoa; Chordata; Actinopteri; Salmoniformes; Salmonidae. The record is from RefSeq and is a predicted model, not a curated record.
GGGAUGUGGAACCCUCGAGUCAAGGGUCUGCUGAACAAGAAGGCUGACGCCGUCAAGGCGAACAACAAAGCCAACACAGUGACCAGUCCUAAAGACACCAGCC